GUGGGGAAUUUUGGACAAUGGGCGCAAGCCUGAUCCAGCAAUGCCGCGUGCAGGAAGAAGGCCCUCAGGGUUGUAAACGGCUUUUGACGGUGAAGAACCGACAGGAUGCGUCCUGUUUUGACGGUAGCCGUUGAAUAAGCACCGGCUAACUCCGUGCCAGCAGCCGCGGUAAUACGGAGGGUGCGAGCGUUGUCCGGAUUUAUUGGGUUUAAAGGGUGCGUAGGCUGGAAGGUCAGUCAGCGGUGAAAAGCUGUCGCUUAACGAUAGUCUUGCCGCAGAUACUUCCUUUCUUGGAUGAGGAGGAGGCCACUGGAACGGAUGGUGUAGCGGUGAAAUGCAUAGAUAUCAUCCAGAACACCGAUUGCGAAGGCAGGUGGCUGUACCUUAAUCGACGCUGAUGCACGAAAGCAUGGGGAGCAAACAGGAUUAGAAACCCCUGUAGUCC
RNAcentral lists this ribosomal RNA (445 nucleotides) under uncultured bacterium. Its description in RNAcentral is "partial 16S ribosomal RNA". It matches the Rfam family "Bacterial small subunit ribosomal RNA", at positions 354 to 796 of the family's 1533-position model. The record is from RNAcentral.